Molecule: ribosomal RNA, 1534 nt
Filed under: Salmonella enterica subsp. enterica serovar Choleraesuis str. SC-B67
Lineage: Bacteria; Pseudomonadati; Pseudomonadota; Gammaproteobacteria; Enterobacterales; Enterobacteriaceae
Description: bacterial SSU rRNA
Rfam family: Bacterial small subunit ribosomal RNA
Source: RNAcentral
AGAGUUUGAUCAUGGCUCAGAUUGAACGCUGGCGGCAGGCCUAACACAUGCAAGUCGAACGGUAACAGGAAGCAGCUUGCUGCUUUGCUGACGAGUGGCGGACGGGUGAGUAAUGUCUGGGAAACUGCCUGAUGGAGGGGGAUAACUACUGGAAACGGUGGCUAAUACCGCAUAACGUCGCAAGACCAAAGAGGGGGACCUUCGGGCCUCUUGCCAUCAGAUGUGCCCAGAUGGGAUUAGCUUGUUGGUGAGGUAACGGCUCACCAAGGCGACGAUCCCUAGCUGGUCUGAGAGGAUGACCAGCCACACUGGAACUGAGACACGGUCCAGACUCCUACGGGAGGCAGCAGUGGGGAAUAUUGCACAAUGGGCGCAAGCCUGAUGCAGCCAUGCCGCGUGUAUGAAGAAGGCCUUCGGGUUGUAAAGUACUUUCAGCGGGGAGGAAGGUGUUGUGGUUAAUAACCGCAGCAAUUGACGUUACCCGCAGAAGAAGCACCGGCUAACUCCGUGCCAGCAGCCGCGGUAAUACGGAGGGUGCAAGCGUUAAUCGGAAUUACUGGGCGUAAAGCGCACGCAGGCGGUCUGUCAAGUCGGAUGUGAAAUCCCCGGGCUCAACCUGGGAACUGCAUUCGAAACUGGCAGGCUUGAGUCUUGUAGAGGGGGGUAGAAUUCCAGGUGUAGCGGUGAAAUGCGUAGAGAUCUGGAGGAAUACCGGUGGCGAAGGCGGCCCCCUGGACAAAGACUGACGCUCAGGUGCGAAAGCGUGGGGAGCAAACAGGAUUAGAUACCCUGGUAGUCCACGCCGUAAACGAUGUCUACUUGGAGGUUGUGCCCUUGAGGCGUGGCUUCCGGAGCUAACGCGUUAAGUAGACCGCCUGGGGAGUACGGCCGCAAGGUUAAAACUCAAAUGAAUUGACGGGGGCCCGCACAAGCGGUGGAGCAUGUGGUUUAAUUCGAUGCAACGCGAAGAACCUUACCUGGUCUUGACAUCCACGGAAGUUUUCAGAGAUGAGAAUGUGCCUUCGGGAACCGUGAGACAGGUGCUGCAUGGCUGUCGUCAGCUCGUGUUGUGAAAUGUUGGGUUAAGUCCCGCAACGAGCGCAACCCUUAUCCUUUGUUGCCAGCGAUUAGGUCGGGAACUCAAAGGAGACUGCCAGUGAUAAACUGGAGGAAGGUAGGGAUGACGUCAAGUCAUCAUGGCCCUUACGACCAGGGCUACACACGUGCUACAAUGGCGCAUACAAAGAGAAGCGACCUCGCGAGAGCAAGCGGACCUCAUAAAGUGCGUCGUAGUCCGGAUUGGAGUCUGCAACUCGACUCCAUGAAGUUGGAAUCGCUAGUAAUCGUGGAUCAGAAUGCCACGGUGAAUACGUUCCCGGGCCUUGUACACACCGCCCGUCACACCAUGGGAGUGGGUUGCAAAAGAAGUAGGUAGCUUAACCUUCGGGAGGGCGCUUACCACUUUGUGAUUCAUGACUGGGGUGAAGUCGUAACAAGGUAACCGUAGGGGAACCUGCGGUUGGAUCACCUCCUU